AAUUGCGCUUAUUCUUUAACUUUUUGAAACAGCGUAAACUCGAAAAUGAAUAUCUGUGACUUGAUUACAGCGGGAAUACUUAGUGCAAUUGGGGUAUCAGACUGCCUUGAAUGCUUCAAUUGUGUAAAUAUUGCUGACCCCCGGGCGUGUACAAACAGAAUUCAAUGUUAGAAUAGUGAGUCCUGUUAUUUGGAAACGCUCCAUUCUGGCAACGAAGUACGUUACAACAUGGGCUGUCAUAACAAUCAAUACAUGGCAACUGGUUAGAUUGGUUCGCAUGGUCAAGUUGCUCAGUCACGUGUGACUCACAAAGAGGUCAAGAACCCGCACUUAUCCUAAACCAGAGCAUAAUGGAGACAAUUUCGUCGGAGAUCCUUUCGAGAAUACAAUUUGUCUUACAGAACCAUGCGCCAACAGAAAUGGCGGCUGGUCGAGCUGGGAUGGGUGGCAUGGCUGUUUAGUCACUUGUGGAGGGGGACUGAAGCUGAGGGACCUGUACCAACCCGCGUCCGACAUUAUACGGCAAAGCUUGCGAGGGAAGCUCUGAGGCGUUCGCUGUUUGUGCCAAAACACCAUGUGAGUUUAAAGUGUAUGAUCAAAUUUAUAAGAGGAAUGACUAGACA
Long non-coding RNA from Dreissena polymorpha, 623 nucleotides. RefSeq lists it as uncharacterized. The transcript has 6 exons. Lineage: Eukaryota; Metazoa; Mollusca; Bivalvia; Myida; Dreissenidae. The record is from RefSeq and is a predicted model, not a curated record.